This 501-nucleotide ribosomal RNA is filed under the name uncultured bacterium. RNAcentral describes it as "partial 16S ribosomal RNA". It matches the Rfam family "Bacterial small subunit ribosomal RNA", at positions 30 to 523 of the family's 1533-position model. The record is from RNAcentral.
AUUGAACGCUGGCGGCAGGCUUAACACAUGCAAGUCGAGCGGGGGAAGGUAGCUUGCUACCGGACCUAGCGGCGGACGGGUGAGUAAUGCUUAGGAAUCUGCCUAUUAGUGGGGGACAACAUCUCGAAAGGGAUGCUAAUACCGCAUACGUCCUACGGGAGAAAGCAGGGGAUCUUCGGACCUUGCGCUAAUAGAUGAGCCUAAGCCGGAUUAGCUAGUUGGUGGGGUAAAGGCCUACCAAGGCGACGAUCUGUAGCGGGUCUGAGAGGAUGAGCAGCCACACUGGGACUGCGACACGGCCCAGACUCCUACGGGAGGCAGCAGUGGGGAAUAUUGGACAAUGGGGGGAACCCUGAUCCAGCCAUGCCGCGUGUGUGAAGAAGGCCUUAUGGUUGUAAUGCACUUUAAGCGAGGAGGAGGCUACUCUAGUUAAUACCUAGGGAUAGUGGACGUUACUCGCAGAAUAAGCACCGGCUAACUCUGUGCCAGCCGCCGCGGUAA